GUCUGUUUGGAGAUAUAAAGAGUCUGGCCUGCCCACUGAUUUUUUAAAGGGCCGCGGUAAUCUGACCGUGCAAAGGUAGCAUAAUCGUUAGUUUUUUAAUUGGAAUCUUGUAUGAAUGGUUGAACAAAAGAACAGCUGUCUCUAUACUUUUUUCUGAAUUUAACUUUUAAGUGAAAAGGCUUAAAUGCUUUAAGAAGACGAUAAGACCCUAUAAAGCUUAAUAAGCUUUUGUAAAAAACUGAAUUUAAAAAAUAAAAGUUCAGUACAAGAUGCUUAUUUUGUUGGGGCGACAAUGAUAAAGUGUUUGUUAACUGUUAAAAAAAAAGACAAAAUUAAAUGGUUGAAAAUUGUGGUUUAAAUGAUCCUCCUGUGGAGAUUAAAAGUUUAAGUUACUUUAGGGAUAACAGCGUUAUUUCUUUUGAGAGUCCUUAUCGAAAAAGAAGUUUGCGACCUCGAUGUUGAAUUAAAAUUUCUAUAUAAUUGCAGAGGUUAUAAUAGAAGGUCUGUUCGACCUUUAAAUUUUU
Molecule: ribosomal RNA, 524 nt
Filed under: Austruca lactea
Lineage: Eukaryota; Metazoa; Arthropoda; Malacostraca; Decapoda; Ocypodidae
Description: partial 16S rRNA
Rfam family: Bacterial large subunit ribosomal RNA
Source: RNAcentral